AAUGUAAUGCAUUUCUGAAUUCUGAAUUCUGAAUUCUGAUUUCACUCCUCUCUCUCCCCCCUUUAUCUCUUUCUCUCUCUCCUCAUUUCAUUAAUCAACAGCGUUUAUGGCUCCUUCUCUCUCCUCCUUUCACCGCGUUUCUGGCUCCUUCUCUCUCCUCUUUUCCGGUGAAGAUUAACCGGACGACAUAUCUCCUGUUAGGUUUUUCUCUAAUUUGUGGUUCGUUUCCUCUUUUUUUAUUGGAUUUUAUUGGUUUGUUUGUAGCUGAAAUGUUUGAUUUAUUCUUGAAAUAGGUCAGAUAAAGUUUGGUUAAUUGAUGAGAAGCAGAAUAUGGUUAGUUUAUGGAAAUUAAUUGUAUUCUUUUGCAUAGUUUUGACGAAAUAUAUGAUUUUGGUGAUUUAUGAACCGGGUUGAUAACUGAUUAUUCUGCCGGCUUCGAAGCUCAGGCUCCGCGUUAUGCGAAUCGAUCUUCUGUUUGAGGAGAAAUUCUCGAGAGGAUUUGAUCAUGUACCAGCAAAGAACUCAUGUACCAGCAAGUCCUACGCCGUUUUGGUCAUUUUAAUGCUAUACAAUUGAGUGACCCUGCACCACUGCCUGAGUUAAUACUGUUGGCACUCAAAGAGGAAGAUAUGGAUGCAGAUGGCAGUGAGAAUUAUGAUCUGAGGAAAAAAAUUGCUGAGGUUAUUACUUCGCCCUUUGUCAUUUCUUCUAAGAGGUUCCUUUACACCUAUCCUGCCUGUUUGAGGCCUAGGCUAGGGUUAGUGACCAUGUUUAACUGCAAAGUUACUUAACCAAAUAUAUUGAGCUCGCUGUUAAAGUUUCAGGUGGCUUUCGAACAAAAUGUCAUGUCAUUUUAUUGAUUCCCCUUUUAGUUGCUCUUGAAUUUCUCUCAAUUAUUUCGAGUAUUGUUAUUUUUGAUUUUGAUUUUUCAAUUUGAAUUGAUAUGUGUUUCUCUUCUUAUCUGAAUUUUUCUUUCUUAAAUUUACAGCAGGUGAUAUUGUAACAUUUGUAAAUCAUGAUCUCCUUGGUUUUUUGCGCUUCUCCAAUGGUUAGUUGCCUUAAAAUUAUUUAUUAUUGUGAUUAUUUGGGGUUCAGGUUAACAGUUACAAAGAACAGAUAAAUUGUGGUAAAUUCAUGUUAUGAUUGUUAUUCAAGUUGUGCUUUGAGAUGUCUUUGGAGGCAGGUUUACUGUAAUGGACUAAUACGAGUACUUGCUAUGUUCUUAUAUGUUGAAGUUUCUUGUCUGGUGAUUAGAUUAUAUCCUAGAUAGCAUAUGUUUAAUCAAAGACCCAUUGUAUUUGGACGUCUAAGGUAGAUCCCGAUAAUGCUUCUGCGUUCAUUCUAGACAGCAUAUUUUUAAUCAAAGACCCAUUGUAUUUUUCAUCUCCCAUGUUUGACAUUACUAUCAUGGCUUUUCUUCUUCUAUGGUGUGUUGUGAAUGAUAGUUUGGAACACAGUAGUUAAUUUGUCCACUAUUUUCUGUCUAAAAUGUGGAAUGUGCAGGAAAUUGCUUAGUAUAGAUUUCUCAAUUUAAAGCAUACAUAAUUUAUCGAUUUAAAGCAUACAUAAUUUUUUUAAUACCGGGUCAAUAAUCCUGACGAGUUUUCUCGAUUCAUUAAGCUGUAACUGGGCUCGUCUUUGAUCGGCUUCUAAUCAAUAUUCAAAAUCAAUAUUUGUAGUUUAAUUUACUCAAUUUAUUAAACUUGAUGGAUUUAUGUGAUAGGAAUUCCCGAGAGGAUUUGAUCAAUCAUAUUCUUACGAGACAUGGUCUAGAAAACCCACUAAACCUCCAAAAUUGUACUUUCCAACUCUGUUUUUUCAUAUUUAUUUUAUCACUGAUUAUUGAUAUCAUUAUCUCUUUGUCUAUCCCUUAUUUGUUUCUUUUCUGAACUCCAAUCUGUUUUAUUAAUAUACGCUUGUGAUGUCACUGUCUGUUAAUUCUAGGCUUGUCAAGUCGAUUUCAGGUCUAGCAAUUUUGGGUUUAGCCGUUUAGGCUAUGUUCGUUCUCAGGUCCAGUGUGUUUGAAAGUAAUUUCGGGUGGUGUUACUGGGUUCUUCCUCGGAAAAGUUAUAGAAUUUGUGUUUGAUUAAUGUGGUUUAUGUGGUAAAUUUUCUUUAAUGAGAGACUAAUAUAUGUAGUUGUUUUGCCAAGGGUUAAGCUGUUUGCUCAUAACUAAGUGUGUUUUAAUGGAGACCAUGUGUUGUAACGUGUUUGAUUGUUGCUCACCUUCUUAAUUUUGUUGUAAGUGUUAUGUAUCAGUGUUUGAUUGUUGCUCACCUUCUUAAUUUGGACACUAAGUACCCUGGGCCUAAUGCAUCGACAAUUGGGAAGAUAUUUGCACGUUAUUUGCCUCGAACAGAGCUAGGUUUGUCUCGUCACCAAGUCGAUCAAGCGGUUUGUUAAUGAUGAGUUCGAUAUGCUCGAUGAUCUGAAAUUGUUUUGGAUCUUAUUAUGUAUUGACGGGUAGCAUUUUAGUAUAUUAGGUAUAUUAGGUUGGAUCCUAUUAUGUUUUAUUGGAUGUCAUAUUUGAAAAUUUGGAUCUUAUAUAUUUGUAUUUUACAUAAUCGUAGACAUAUAUAUAUUUUAGUCUACAAUUGUUUUCUAUUUUGCAGUACUAUUGUAAACAUAUACAGUACAGUCUAACACUUAUAUAUAAUUUCAACAUUUUUGAACA
Molecule: long non-coding RNA, 2674 nt
Organism: Spinacia oleracea (spinach)
Lineage: Eukaryota; Viridiplantae; Streptophyta; Magnoliopsida; Caryophyllales; Amaranthaceae
Exons: 2
Source: RefSeq, a predicted model, not a curated record